CUGAAAUCUCUGAAACCAGUCUUGCUAAACUGCUGAGGUUGGCCUUGACCUUGUGGUCCUCCUGCCUCAGUCUCUCAAGUUGAUGGAAUUCCAUGUUCGAGGAAAACAAGUUCUAUGCUGCAAAAUUUCUUUGAGGAUAAAGUAAGCUUGGAAUAAGGAAAACAGGUUCUGGACCACUGAACUACAUCCCAAGCCCUUUUCUUUUUUAUAUUGGGAGAGGAUGCCACCAAGUUGCCACGGUGGCCUUGACUUGCAGUACUCCUGACACAACCUCCUGAGCAGCAGAGAUUACAGGUGUAGAUGGACACAACACAAUGCCUUUAUUUUUAUG
Marmota flaviventris (yellow-bellied marmot) is the source of this 331-nucleotide long non-coding RNA. RefSeq lists it as uncharacterized. The record is from RefSeq and is a predicted model, not a curated record. NCBI's taxonomy places the organism in Eukaryota, Metazoa, Chordata, Mammalia, Rodentia, Sciuridae.